RNAcentral lists this ribosomal RNA (516 nucleotides) under uncultured bacterium. Its description in RNAcentral is "partial 16S ribosomal RNA". It matches the Rfam family "Bacterial small subunit ribosomal RNA", at positions 28 to 523 of the family's 1533-position model. The record is from RNAcentral.
GACGAACGCUGGCGGCAUGCCUAAUACAUGCAAGUCGGGCGGACUUGAUGAGAAGCUUGCUUCUCAGAUAGUUAGCGGCGGACGGGUGAGUAACACGUAGGCAACCUGCCCUCAAGCUUGGGACAACUACCGGAAACGGUAGCUAAUACCGAAUACUUGUUUUCUUCGCCUGAAGGAAACUGGAAAGACGGAGUAAUCUGUCACUUGGGGAUGGGCCUGCGGCGCAUUGGCUAGUUGGUGAGGUAACGGCUCACCAAGGCGACGAUGCGUAGCCGACCUGGGAGGGUGAUCGGCCACACUGGGACUGAGACACGGCCCAGACUCCUACGGGAGGCAGCAGUAGGGAAUCUUCCGCAAUGGGCGAAAGCCUGACGGAGCAAUGCCGCGUGAGUGAUGAAGGUUUUCGGAUCGUAAAGCUCUGUUGCCAGGGAAGAACGCUUGGGAGAGUAACUGCUCCCAAGGUGACGGUACCUGAGAAGAAAGCCCCGGCUAACUACGUGCCAGCCGCCGCAGUAA